AUUUACGUUCAGUUACUUUAUUCUCGGGAACGAGGGGACCCCCGUUUUGGGGCUAGCUGGAUCACAAAAAGAGAUAAAGAUUAAGUAACUUGCCUAAAAUUACAUGCCCAUUAAGUACAUGAGGCUGGAUUUGAACUUCCUUCUUCCUGAUUCCAGAUCCAGGACUCAAGUGGUACUUUCUGUCAUGAGUUUCAGAAGAAGCAUAAGGAGAUAAUAAGGAAAGAGAAAUGGGACUUAAUGAAAUUUAUCUGCUUAUAUUCCUCCAUGGGAGGAUGAUACUUGUAAUUUAUAAGAACUUUUGCAUUAUUAUGGCCGUUAGAAGGAGUAUAUAUAAACAGAGGAGCCCAGCUGGUACUAGAAAAACACACAAUUGGAAGCGAUGGGAAGUUUUCUUGAAUAAUGGAAAGGACUGAAAAAAAGAGAAUUUAAAAUGCCAAUUUGAGGACUGUCUUCUAUGAGGAUGAAAGUAAUCAAUAUCAGCUAAGAAACAAAUGACAACACCAGAAAGCUUGAUUAUUCACCAAUUUGGCUAAUCUACUGGGAGAAAUCUUGACUACAUUGGUAGAAGACUAAGUGAAAGCAUCCUAGGUAGAACUAUCCUUGUCACUUGUCAGCACAUUUUAAUGAAAUGCCAGUCUUUUCUACCAAAUCCUGAAGAAAAACCUCUGGGUACCGAUUGAUGAAAUGAUUUUCCUCCCAAAUGGAGCCUAAACUUAAAAUAAAGCACCUCCCAUUUUGCAAAGCACAGCAGUCUGCAAGUUCAAGAGAGGGCAGAAAAGUGAUUCUCAGCCUACUCCACUUUGGAUAUGCUUCUUUGCUUGGUUUCAACUCCACAGAACAAGAUGACUGUGUAUUAAGUAAUCCCUGCUGGCUCCCCAUCCCUGAUUUCCCGCUUCCUUUUUUGGGUUGUCUCCACCCUUAGAGUUGUAAGUCUUUGAGGGCAGGGGUUGUCUUUCUUUUUAUUAAUUGUAUUACCAGCACAUAGUAGAUGCUUAAUAAAAUUGUAUUAUGUAUAUAAAAGAGGUGGAUUAGUUCUUUUUGUGGUGG
This 1047-nucleotide long non-coding RNA is filed under the name Sarcophilus harrisii (Tasmanian devil). RNAcentral's name for it is "lncRNA (ENSSHAG00000028425.1)". The record is from RNAcentral. Lineage: Eukaryota; Metazoa; Chordata; Mammalia; Dasyuromorphia; Dasyuridae.